RNAcentral lists this transfer RNA (68 nucleotides) under Syngnathus louisianae (chain pipefish). RNAcentral's name for it is "tRNA-Ser". Lineage: Eukaryota; Metazoa; Chordata; Actinopteri; Syngnathiformes; Syngnathidae. The record is from RNAcentral. RNAcentral also lists the same sequence under 1 other name.
GAGAGAGGUCCGAAGACAACAAAAACUGCUAACUUAUGCCUCCUCAGUUAAACUCUGAGGCUCACUCG